RNAcentral lists this ribosomal RNA (337 nucleotides) under uncultured Pseudomonadota bacterium. RNAcentral describes it as "bacterial SSU rRNA". It matches the Rfam family "Bacterial small subunit ribosomal RNA", at positions 29 to 351 of the family's 1533-position model. The record is from RNAcentral. Lineage: Bacteria; Pseudomonadati; Pseudomonadota.
AACGAACGCUGGCGGCGUGCUUAACACAUGCAAGUCGAACGCGAAAGGGACUUCGGUCCUGAGUAAAGUGGCGCACGGGUGAGUAACGCGUGGAUAAUCUGCCCAAUGGUCCGGGAUAACAUUUCGAAAGGGGUGCUAAUACCGGAUAAGACCACGAAGUCUUAGGACUUUGCGGUAAAAGGUGGGGACCUUCGGGCCUACCGCAAUUGGAUGAGUCCGCGUACCAUUAGCUAGUUGGUAGGGUAAAGGCCUACCAAGGCAACGAUGGUUAGCUGGUCUGAGAGGAUGAUCAGCCACACUGGAACUGAGACACGGUCCAGACUCCUACGGGUGGCAG